UGUAUCAGGAUGCAGACAACAGGCUAUCUUAAGCCUCCAGCUUCAACAUUACUACUACCAUUGAAAAGAAAAUUAUACGAAUUCUAGGUUUAUAAAUAUAAAAAUUAAAAAAAUAAACCCCAAAAGGCCACAGACCCAGGGCUAAGCCCUGCAGCCAAGACUAGCAGGCCAUAAAGAUAAAGGAGCACAGGAAACACUGUUCAGGCAGGACUGACAAGCCAUAAAGAAAAGGAAUGCAGGAACCAGCCUGAGUUAAUGGGACUGAUUCAUGGGACGUCUGGCAGGAAGACAUCUCCCCCCAGCUCACUCAGGGCCAUCCUCCAGACCCUGAUAAGCCCCUGACUUCUAACACGUACUCUUUCUGCUUUGUUCUCACUGCUAUGUUUGAAUGAGCCAAUUGUAUGUAACCACGCCAAAACCCCCUAGCCUUCUCUAUAUAACCCUCUGACUUUUGAGUUUCGGGGCCGACACCUCUGUCUCCUGCGCGGGAUACGUGUCGGCCCGGAGAUCUCUGUAAUAGGUCUCCGUAAUAAACCUCGCCUUUGCUUAUUACAUCCAAAAUGGUCUCUCUGUGUCUGGGGUCCGUGAUUUUCCCAAGACUUGAGUAAGGGUCUCUCUGCGUGGGAUCUUUCAUAAUAAUGGGGGCUCGUCCGGGAUCUGCGCGACUACCCCAGACUCCGAAGACCCCUUGGAGGUGAGUUGGAUGUUUGUCUGAGUGUUUCUGUGUGAGCGGCGCCGCAUUUGUCAGUCUGUGUCUGUCUCUGUUUUGGUUCCGCCGUGUGUGUGUAUAUGUGUGUCUUAGUACUGGUCAGUGUUAAGAGGGUGGAUGGGUAUUCCUGCCCUGUGGUAAGAGGGCAGAUGGGUAUUCCUGCCCUGUGGUAAGAGGGUGGAUGUGUAUUCCUGCCCUGUAGGAGAGUGGAUGUGUAUCCCCACUCAGUGCAGCUGCCUUUGUGGUCCGUGAGGACCCCCUGGCUGCGGAAGGGGGGACGCCCCGGGCCCGCAAGGCUGCAGCCCCUGGAAGACGUUCCACGGGCGGAGAACAGUCGGGAGAGCCCGGCUAUGGACAGUCAGGAGGACCUGACUCUGGUUUUCUGGAACAAAGGAGAUGGAAUGCUCCUUUUACCUAGGCGGGAGUGGACGAGGAAUCCCACUCCGUCAGAGGUCGAGUUCGGCUGCCUAUUUAAAUAUAGGCACGGACAAGUGUGCUUAGUCGUUAGGACAAGAGGACACUCUGGAAUCCUGUUGGGAGGUGGAAUCAGAUGGUCCAUCUCAUCCCAAAAGCAGCUAAGGUUAAGCUGCAGUUUGGGCCACGUACUGAAGGUACCAGGCAUCUGUGAAAGUUGGUUAUAAGAUGCUUUGUCUUGAUAUUGUUUGUCUGGCUUGUUUUCUGUGGUAUUGUCGAGUGUCUUUUUGGCUUUUGUUUCGUUUUUGAAUUUUGGACUGACGACUGUGUUUGAAUUUGGACUGAUGACUGUGUUUAAAAUCUUGGACUGACGACUGUGUUUGAAAUCAUGAAACUGUUUGCUUUGUUCGUCAUAGAGUUUUACUUGGUCCUCUUGGUGCUUAAGUUAAGAGUUAAAAAUAAUUUGCUUGAGAAAAAUUGUUUUCUGCCAGGGAGUUUUGUCUUUCUCUCUUGAGCCUCCUCCCCAAGGAGAGAGACCCCUCCCUUUACUCCCCUUGAUCAGCCUAGCUGCUGUUAACAGUUGUGUAAACAGACAUUAACAAAAACCUUGAGGACAAAACCGCUCAUAAAUAAAAAAGUUCCCCAGAUUAGGCCUCCGGUAUGAAACAAGUAUAGUGAGUAAGAAACUUAAUUUUAUGGACCCCGCUCUAGUGGCGGUGUGUUGGUUGAUAGCCAACGUUAAUUUUUUAAAACAUAGUGUUUUAUCUGUGCUUGUGCUCGCAACACACAGUAGGGGGGAGCGAAAUUAGCUGCGGAGCUGCUACAGCGAACAUGGGGACUUCUCAAGUCUCACCCAAUUUUUCUGGCUCUUCAGGAGCUGUUUAAAAGAAAAAGGCUUAAGGUAAAAAGAAACACUAUAGAGAGAUUUCGUAGUGUAUUACUACACCUUGGUUCUCGAUCUCUGGGAAUCUCACGAUGGACAGCUGAGAUAAGCUAAAAAAGGAUUUAAAUUUUGCUUGAGAGCAAGGAAUCUUAAAGGCGGAGUUUCAGCCGGUUUGACACUUAGUGCGUAGCUGCCUAAAAGAUCAGAAAUGCUGUCAACAGUCUAUAAAAAAGGGACAGGCUGUGUUAAAAAUGCUACAUAAAGAAUAAUCUAAAAAGGCUGAGAGUGAGGUGGGAGAGGACUCUAAGAAAAACAAGAACAAGAAAAGAAUUUCUGCUUUUAGUGGCCAGACCUUCAACUCUUGCUCACAGAAAGAGAGUGCUCAUUAGAAGUUCUUUAAGGAGCCUGCCUUAUCUGCUGGCCCUAUUCCAAGAGAGGAGCCAGUCUCCAGCAUUAAAUUACUUUUCUCACUGGUCAUCAUUAGCAUGGAGAAUGCCUUUGAUCUUAUCCCCACAGCAGCCAGUUCCUGCCCCUGUGGUCGAAAUGUCCCAGGUUGGGGGGCAGAGAAGCCCCUAAAAUAGUUUCAAAGAAUCUACAACAAACUGUAAAGAACUUUGUUUUGUUUUGCCAGUCAAGAUUUAGAAUUCAGACUUUGGCUGUGGCCAAGGUCAGGAUUAAUGUUUUCUUUUCCAUGGGCCUUUAGCCCACUGAGAAAGUUUGGUAAAGGGCUGCUACUGAGGUCCUGAAAGCCCCAGGUGAACUGUUUACAAUUCUUUUGUCAGCUGCUUAGAAUCUAACACUCAGGUUCUAACCGUCUCUCCAUCCUUUUGUUAUUAGUUCUUACUGAAAGCCUAGUGCCAUUUAGAGGAUGGGUCUCUUGAGUGAUAAAGCCACUGAGCUGGCACUAAAGGAAGGUACUCCUUAAGGGAAAAUCUAAGUCCAGAGAGACAACCAGUAACAGAUAGACUGCCCCUCUGCUCACUUUUCUGUUUCACAGACACAAGGUCUUUUUGUCCCAAGAAAGCCUCCUGGCUUAGCUGUGUGACUAAAUGCUAUUUGCCCUCUUCAGUGGACCUCUAUUCUCAAGAUUCUCUUGUUUUCUCACCAUCCCAUUUGAGAUGCUUGUUAGUAACUGUUACAGGUCUUCUUUACCACCGAGGAAAGACAAAAUCCUACUAGAGGCCAGAAAAAGUGUUCCAGAGAUGGAUGGAAGGCCCUCACUUCUGCCUGCUCUUUUCAGACGCCUAAAGAUACUUUUUCAGGAAUAGAUAGAAGCUUUCCUCACCAAACGAGAGACGGCCUCUACAAUCAUCAAGAAGAUACUAGAAGAAAUCUUCCCCAGGUCUAGAAUGCCCAAGGUAAUCUGGUCAGACAACGGCCCUACUUUCGUUGCCAAGGUAAGCCAGGGUGUGGCCAAGUAUUUAGAGGUCAAUUAGAAAUUACAUUAUAUUUACAGACCUCAAAGUUCAGGACAGGUAGAGUAAAUAAAUAAAAUUUUAAAAGAGACCCUGAACAAAUUGACCAUAGAGACUGGCACAGAUUGGGUGACACUCCUUCCCUCUUGCUCUCUUCAGAGCAAAAAAUACCCCUUCCAGAUUCAGCCUUACCCCCUUUGAGAUCUUAUAUGGGGCCUCAGCUCCCCUGACUGUAUUAGAUGAUGUUACUGAACCAACUUGUCAUAGUGCCAUAGUAAUAAUGAUUUGUGUGCCAGGCUAAAAGACCUACAGGUGAUACAGAAAGAAAUCUGCUCACAGCUGACAGCAGCCUAUGCCCCGAAGACCCCUGAGACAUCCCAUCAGUUCCAGGCCGGAAGCAGCUACACUGAGCCCAGACACUCGAGCCUCGCUGGAAAGGACCGUACCUGGUGCUGCUGACCACCCUGACAGCCGUCAAUUCUCAGCCCUCACCAGCCGUGUACUUACUAGCUGUUAGGGCUGAGAGCUGGGACCUAGAGGGAAAUUCAGUCAUGUUUGUCCUGGGUUCCAUCGAGAUAGGUGUGGGAUAGGCUUGAUUUCUAUUACAAAUGAUAUAACAUUACAUAUGUUAAUACUCCUAACACUUCUUGGGACUGUGCCUCAGGGAUCACAAUCUAUAUAAGUUUAGAAGUUCUAAAAGCUAGUCAUGACCUUGGUGUAUAGGUUUUGAUAGUGUCCAGAUUAGAAUCCUAAUGCUAAAGACUUAGUAAGACACACACACACACAAAAAAAAAAAGAGUUGAGAAUUACUUAGGGCUAGGGCUAUCUAGGUGCUACAAGGGCAGCACAAGGACAUCUGCUGUUGCCCUACAAUACAAGGCUUAUAGAGAAUUCAGAACUGCCAUUGACUCAGAUAUAAAAAGAGUAAAAGACUUUUUAGCUGACCUCCAAGAAUACCUAACUUCCCUCUCAGAGGUAGUCCUUCAAAAUAAAAAAAGAUCAGACCUGAUAUUCCUUAAAGAAGGAAUCUGUGUGCUACACUGAAAGAAAAAUGUUGCUUCUAUACAGACCAUUCAGGAGUAAUUAAAGACUCCAUAAAUAAACUUAAAAAAAGGUUAGACAAAAGACAGACAGACAGAAAAACACAUCAGAGAUAGUUCGAGAGCUAGUUUAGUAGAUCUCCCUGGAUGACUACCCUACUCUCUGCUACAGCUGGGCCAUUAUUAAUAAUUUUCUUGGUUUUAGUUUUUGGCUCCUGCGUGACAAACAGGUUAAUUGCUUUUGUUAAAAAUUGAGUGGGUGCUGUGCGGUUGAUGGUCCUGAGACAACAGUACCAGUCAGUUAGGACAACUGGUGAGACCAAAUAAGACUUGAUAUCAAAAUUCUAAGAUUAGAAUUAUUUAGUAGGAGAAGACGGGAAUGAAAAGAAAAUUAUACGAAUUCUAGGUUUAUAAAUAUAAAAAUUAAAAAAAUAAACCCCAAAAGGCCACAGACCCAGGGCUAAGCCCUGCAGCCAAGACUAGCAGGCCAUAAAGAUAAAGGAGCACAGGAAACACUGUUCAGGCAGGACUGACAAGCCAUAAAGAAAAGGAAUGCAGGAACCAGCCUGAGUUAAUGGGACUGAUUCAUGGGACGUCUGGCAGGAAGACAUCUCCCCCCAGCUCACUCAGGGCCAUCCUCCAGACCCUGAUAAGCCCCUGACUUCUAACACGUACUCUUUCUGCUUUGUUCUCACUGCUAUGUUUGAAUGAGCCAAUUGUAUGUAACCACGCCAAAACAACCUAGCCUUCUCUAUAUAACCCUCUGACUUUUGAGUUUCGGGGCCGACACCUCUGUCUCCUGCGCGGGAUACGUGUCGGCCCGGAGAUCUCUGUAAUAGGUCUCCGUAAUAAACCUCGCCUUUGCUUAUUACAUCCAAAA
Rattus norvegicus (Norway rat) is the source of this 5341-nucleotide non-coding RNA. The record is from RefSeq and is a predicted model, not a curated record. Lineage: Eukaryota; Metazoa; Chordata; Mammalia; Rodentia; Muridae.